AAAUUGAAGAGUUUGAUCAUGGCUCAGAUUGAACGCUGGCGGCAGGCCUAACACAUGCAAGUCGAACGGUAACAGGAAGCAGCUUGCUGCUUUGCUGACGAGUGGCGGACGGGUGAGUAAUGUCUGGGAAACUGCCUGAUGGAGGGGGAUAACUACUGGAAACGGUGGCUAAUACCGCAUAACGUCGCAAGACCAAAGAGGGGGACCUUCGGGCCUCUUGCCAUCAGAUGUGCCCAGAUGGGAUUAGCUUGUUGGUGAGGUAACGGCUCACCAAGGCGACGAUCCCUAGCUGGUCUGAGAGGAUGACCAGCCACACUGGAACUGAGACACGGUCCAGACUCCUACGGGAGGCAGCAGUGGGGAAUAUUGCACAAUGGGCGCAAGCCUGAUGCAGCCAUGCCGCGUGUAUGAAGAAGGCCUUCGGGUUGUAAAGUACUUUCAGCGGGGAGGAAGGUGUUGCGGUUAAUAACCGCAGCAAUUGACGUUACCCGCAGAAGAAGCACCGGCUAACUCCGUGCCAGCAGCCGCGGUAAUACGGAGGGUGCAAGCGUUAAUCGGAAUUACUGGGCGUAAAGCGCACGCAGGCGGUCUGUCAAGUCGGAUGUGAAAUCCCCGGGCUCAACCUGGGAACUGCAUUCGAAACUGGCAGGCUUGAGUCUUGUAGAGGGGGGUAGAAUUCCAGGUGUAGCGGUGAAAUGCGUAGAGAUCUGGAGGAAUACCGGUGGCGAAGGCGGCCCCCUGGACAAAGACUGACGCUCAGGUGCGAAAGCGUGGGGAGCAAACAGGAUUAGAUACCCUGGUAGUCCACGCCGUAAACGAUGUCUACUUGGAGGUUGUGCCCUUGAGGCGUGGCUUCCGGAGCUAACGCGUUAAGUAGACCGCCUGGGGAGUACGGCCGCAAGGUUAAAACUCAAAUGAAUUGACGGGGGCCCGCACAAGCGGUGGAGCAUGUGGUUUAAUUCGAUGCAACGCGAAGAACCUUACCUGGUCUUGACAUCCACAGAACUUUCCAGAGAUGGAUUGGUGCCUUCGGGAACUGUGAGACAGGUGCUGCAUGGCUGUCGUCAGCUCGUGUUG
Molecule: ribosomal RNA, 1077 nt
Filed under: Salmonella enterica
Lineage: Bacteria; Pseudomonadati; Pseudomonadota; Gammaproteobacteria; Enterobacterales; Enterobacteriaceae
Also listed under: 1 other name
Description: bacterial SSU rRNA
Rfam family: Bacterial small subunit ribosomal RNA
Source: RNAcentral